CAGCCGCCGCGGUAAUACGAAGGGUGCAAGCGUUAAUCGGAAUUACUGGGCGUAAAGCGCACGUAGGCGGAUCGAUCAGUCAGGGGUGAAAUCCCAGAGCUCAACUCUGGAACUGCCUUUGAUACUGUCGAUCUGGAGUAUGGAAGAGGUGAGUGGAAUUCCGAGUGUAGAGGUGAAAUUCGUAGAUAUUCGGAGGAACACCAGUGGCGAAGGCGGCUCACUGGUCCAUUACUGACGCUGAGGUGCGAAAGCGUGGGGAGCAAACAGGAUUAGAUACCCCCGUAGUCCCUGUCUCUUAUAC
Molecule: ribosomal RNA, 301 nt
Filed under: uncultured bacterium
Lineage: Bacteria
Description: partial 16S ribosomal RNA
Rfam family: Bacterial small subunit ribosomal RNA
Source: RNAcentral